Molecule: transfer RNA, 76 nt
Filed under: Rhodospirillales bacterium
Lineage: Bacteria; Pseudomonadati; Pseudomonadota; Alphaproteobacteria; Rhodospirillales
Description: tRNA-Lys
Rfam family: tRNA
About the family: Transfer RNA (tRNA) molecules are approximately 80 nucleotides in length.
Source: RNAcentral
GGGCGCAUAGCUCAGUUGGCAGAGCAGCUGACUCUUAAUCAGCGGGUCGUAGGUUCGAAUCCUACUGCGCCUACCA